Molecule: non-coding RNA, 283 nt
Organism: Schizosaccharomyces pombe (fission yeast)
Lineage: Eukaryota; Fungi; Ascomycota; Schizosaccharomycetes; Schizosaccharomycetales; Schizosaccharomycetaceae
Source: the annotation of a GenBank genome assembly
AAUAGGAAAGUUCCUGUUCGAGUUCAUGUGCUAUUUGGUACCUUUGAUUUAAAUUUUUCAAGUAAAGCUCUUUCUUCUAAAUAUUCGUUAAAACAAAUUCCAAAGUGAAAAGUAUAUUGAUUCAUGCAUACACUUUUAAGACUAUUUUCAGCUCUCUUCUUAGAACUUCGGUUCAAAAAUGUUCGAUUUCUUCCACUUUCGUCGCUAUUUGCUGUUUCACGAAGUAAAUUCUCAUCAUUCGAUAUUGUAUGCCGUACUUUCGUUAAAUCGGUAGAAAAUACUU